Molecule: long non-coding RNA, 533 nt
Organism: Hermetia illucens (black soldier fly)
Lineage: Eukaryota; Metazoa; Arthropoda; Insecta; Diptera; Stratiomyidae
Exons: 3
Source: RefSeq, a predicted model, not a curated record
GAGCAGAAGCGAACCCCUUUUGUAACAUAAUCAUUGAUGAAAAACCUGGCGGAUUGGAGCCCUGGUGAUCGGCGUAAAAAAUAUGCAAUGUGUUCAGCAGAUAUUAAUUUCAUCGGCAUCACAUUAUGCAUCAGUCAAAUCGCUCAAGCGAAAAAUAAUUUCUUUUUUACUCUUCAAUAAUUUACUCUGCAUUCGCAGCUUGAAGAUGAAGUAAACGUGACGCUCGAGUGUAUCUAAUUUUGCAGGAAAACUCAGGCUAACUGCACCACGAAAGGAUUGAUUGCACUUUACUGAACAAAUGGAGGUAAUUCAAAUCUUGCAUUAAUUCUGGGACACCUCAUAUAUUAUUCGGAUAACAUAUCAGCUCGAGAGCAAUAAGCAUGGAUACCAUAGGCCACAAAUUUAUUAUAAAGAUGAAAAAAAUCCCCGCACUCCAUCAGAUACUCAUUUUAAAUAUGCAUCCAAUAUAUGUAUGUAUUUAUGCUCAAAUGCAUACUUGCACAUGCUUCUGUAAAAAAGUGCAUAUUCACAUA